This 1395-nucleotide ribosomal RNA is filed under the name human gut metagenome. RNAcentral describes it as "bacterial LSU rRNA". It matches the Rfam family "Bacterial large subunit ribosomal RNA", at positions 1103 to 2493 of the family's 2925-position model. The record is from RNAcentral.
GGCUUAGAAGCAGCCAUGCAUUCAAAGAGUGCGUAACAGCUCACUGGUCGAGUGGGGGCGCGCCGACAAUGCGCGGGGCUCAAGCACGGCGCCGAAGCGGCGGAAUCAAGUAAUUGAUUGGUAGGGGAGCUUUCCAUGCCGGGCGAAGCCGGAGGCGCGAGCCCCGGUGGACGGCAUGGAAGUGAGGAUGCAGGCAUGAGUAGCGAGAGAGCGGCGAGAAACCGCUCCGCCGAAAACCCAAGGUUUCCUGGGCGAGGCUAAUCCCCCCAGGGUCAGCCGGGAGCUAAGGCGAGGCCGCAAGGCGCAGCCGAUGCACGACGGGCAGACAUUCCCGUGCCGGCGCGGGCGCGCUACGACCGAUGGGACGACGGGGAAGGAUACGCGAGCGGGGUUCUGGACGUCCCCGUGAAAGCGCGUAGGGAGGGGCCCAGGGAAAUCCGGUCCCCACACAUCCCGAGACGCGAGACGAGCCCUAUGGCGAAGUCGCGGAUUCCAUGCCUCCUAGAAAAAUCCCUAGGCAGCGCCCACGCCGCCCGUACCAAAACCGACACAGGUGGGUAGGAAGAGCAUUCCGAGGCGAUCGGGGCAACCAUGGUCAAGGAACUCGGCAUAAUCGUCCCGUAACUUAGGGAGAAGGGACGCCCCCCAGCGUGUACCGGCUCGCCCGGGAGGCGCCGGGGGGCCGCAGCGAAAGGGCCCAAGCGACUGUUUACCAAAAACACAGGACUCUGCCAAGCCGCGAGGCGAAGUAUAGGGUCUGACGCCUGCCCGGUGCCGGAAGGUUACGCGGAUGCGUUAGCACUCGUGCGAAGCGCUGAAGCCAAGCCCCGGUAAACGGCGGCCGUAACUAUAACGGUCCUAAGGUAGCGAAAUUCCUUGUCGGGUAAGUUCCGACCUGCACGAACGGCGCAACGACUUGGGCGCUGUCUCGACCAUGGGCCCGGCGAAAUUGCAUUAUCCGUGAAGAUGCGGAUUCCCCGCGGAAGGACGGAAAGACCCCGUGAACCUUUACUGCAGCUUGGCAUUGGCCGCAGGCGCGGCGCGUAGAGGAUAGGCAGGAGGCUGCGAAGCCCGGGCGCCAGCCCGGGCGGAGCCGACCUUGGAAUACUGCCCCCGUCGCGUCGGCGGCCUAACCCGGGGACGGCCCGGGGACCGUGCCAGGCGGGCAGUUUGACUGGGGCGGUCGCCUCCCAAAGAGUAACGGAGGCGCGCGCAAGGUCCGCUCAGGACGGUCGGCAACCGUCCGAAGAGCGCAAGAGCACAAGCGGGCCUGACUGCGAGGCAGACAAGCCGAGCAGGGACGAAAGUCGGCUCUAGUGAUCCGGCGGCCCCGAGUGGAAGGGCCGUCGCUCAACGGAUAAAAGGUACUCCGGGGAUAACAGGCUGAUCUUGCCC